GAACGCUGGCGGCAGGCCUAACACAUGCAAGUCGAGCGGUACACAGAGAGCUUGCUCUCGGGUGACGAGCGGCGGACGGGUGAGUAAUGUCUGGGAAACUGCCUGAUGGAGGGGGAUAACUACUGGAAACGGUAGCUAAUACCGCAUAACGUCGCAAGACCAAAGUGGGGGACCUUCGGGCCUCAUGCCAUCAGAUGUGCCCAGAUGGGAUUAGCUAGUAGGUGGGGUAAUGGCUCACCUAGGCGACGAUCCCUAGCUGGUCUGAGAGGAUGACCAGCCACACUGGAACUGAGACACGGUCCAGACUCCUACGGGAGGCAGCAGUGGGGAAUAUUGCACAAUGGGCGCAAGCCUGAUGCAGCCAUGCCGCGUGUAUGAAGAAGGCCUUCGGGUUGUAAAGUACUUUCAGCGAGGAGGAAGGCGUUAAGGUUAAUAACCUUAGCGAUUGACGUUACUCGCAGAAGAAGCACCGGCUAACUCCGUGCCAGCAGCCGCGGUAAUACGGAGGGUGCAAGCGUUAAUCGGAAUUACUGGGCGUAAAGCGCACGCAGGCGGUCUGUCAAGUCGGAUGUGAAAUCCCCGGGCUCAACCUGGGAACUGCAUUCGAAACUGGCAGGCUAGAGUCUUGUAGAGGGGGGUAGAAUUCCAGGUGUAGCGGUGAAAUGCGUAGAGAUCUGGAGGAAUACCGGUGGCGAAGGCGGCCCCCUGGACAAAGACUGAC
RNAcentral lists this ribosomal RNA (721 nucleotides) under Klebsiella sp. Its description in RNAcentral is "bacterial SSU rRNA". It matches the Rfam family "Bacterial small subunit ribosomal RNA", at positions 31 to 744 of the family's 1533-position model. The record is from RNAcentral. Lineage: Bacteria; Pseudomonadati; Pseudomonadota; Gammaproteobacteria; Enterobacterales; Enterobacteriaceae.